Molecule: microRNA precursor, 182 nt
Filed under: Pelobates cultripes (western spadefoot toad)
Lineage: Eukaryota; Metazoa; Chordata; Amphibia; Anura; Pelobatidae
Source: RNAcentral
GGCAGGAGAGACAGCAAGGAUGGUAUAAAAAAUGGAUACAUUUAUUGCAAAUAAAAAUUACAAAAACAACAUACAUUAUAUUGCUUUUGCACUUUUUUAUACAACUUGUUUAGUUGUUUUUAUAAUUUUUAUUUGCAAUAAAUGUAUCCAUUUUUUAUACCAUCCUUGCUGUCUCUCCUGCC